GACGAACGCUGGCGGCGUGCUUAACACAUGCAAGUCGAACGAUGAAGCCGGAGCUUGCUCCGGUGGAUUAGUGGCGAACGGGUGAGUAACACGUGAGCAAUCUGCCCUUGACUCUGGGAUAACUGCGGGAAACUGUAGCUAAUACCGGAUACGACACCUUGGGGCAUCCCAGGGUGUGGAAAGAAUUUCGGUCAAGGAUGAGCUCGCGGCCUAUCAGCUAGUUGGUGAGGUAAUGGCUCACCAAGGCGACGACGGGUAGCCGGCCUGAGAGGGUGACCGGCCACACUGGAACUGAGACACGGUCCAGACUCCUACGGGAGGCAGCAGUGGGGAAUAUUGCACAAUGGGCGAAAGCCUGAUGCAGCAACGCCGCGUGAGGGAUAAAGGCCUUCGGGUUGUAAACCUCUUUUAGCAGGGAAGAAGCGAAAGUGACGGUACCUGCAGAAAAAGCACCGGCUAAUCACGUGCCAGCCGCCGCGGUAA
Molecule: ribosomal RNA, 483 nt
Filed under: uncultured bacterium
Lineage: Bacteria
Description: partial 16S ribosomal RNA
Rfam family: Bacterial small subunit ribosomal RNA
Source: RNAcentral